RNAcentral lists this transfer RNA (74 nucleotides) under Arabidopsis thaliana (thale cress). Its description in RNAcentral is "tRNA AT2G21570". It matches the Rfam family "tRNA". From Rfam's summary of the family: Transfer RNA (tRNA) molecules are approximately 80 nucleotides in length. Their secondary structure includes four short double-helical elements and three loops (D, anti-codon, and T loops). Further hydrogen bonds mediate the characteristic L-shaped molecular structure. tRNAs have two regions of fundamental functional importance: the anti-codon, which is responsible for specific mRNA codon recognition, and the 3' end, to which the tRNAs corresponding amino acid is attached (by aminoacyl-tRNA synthetases). tRNAs cope with the degeneracy of the genetic code in two manners: having more than one tRNA (with a specific anti-codon) for a particular amino acid; and 'wobble' base-pairing, i.e. permitting non-standard base-pairing at the 3rd anti-codon position. Lineage: Eukaryota; Viridiplantae; Streptophyta; Magnoliopsida; Brassicales; Brassicaceae. The record is from RNAcentral.
CCGACCUUAGCUCAGUUGGUAGAGCGGAAGACUGUAGGAUCUUUAGGUCGCUGGUUCGAUUCCGGCAGGUCGGA